GGUUUCCCACGACCUCGGCGCGACGCGCGCGGGAUCCAGUGGAGACUGCUUUCCCAUAGGCCGCCAUCCAGGGCGGGGAAGGGAGCGGACCCUCCCGGCUCCAGAGAAAAGCAGCCUGAUUCGGAGGAACGGGUUGCUUGGGGCGGCUCCCAGCUCGAGUUGUGGGCCCCGCCGCGGGUGCCCUUCGGAAACGCGCUGACACCAGGCGAAGCCGCCUCUGCCCGGACGCAGCCCGACACUUGGCCCGCGGGGUUCCCCGGGACGCCUGAGAGUAAUGGGCGCGAGGGGGAAAGCCGAACGGCCUCCCUGUGCCCGGCGCAGGCGGUGCCCCCUAGCUGGGUUCGCCGCGGCGGCGCUGCGAGCCCCCGACACUGAGGACUUUUGGUCCAACAGUCCGACGGGGCCCGGUGCGCCGUUCCCUCCGCCCUCUCCCCGCUCCCCGGCCCGCGCGUCUUGGAGGGUGGGUGAAUUGUCGGAAGCACUCUACGCCUGGCCAACCCAAACCAGGAACCUCCGCACCAAACAGCCCACGUUGCUGCUGCUCUGGGGUUUUAACGGCCAAGGGAGACUGGAGAAGGGGUGUUCUGCCUUCCCAUUCUCUUAGGCCCGUCCACUCCCCAUCCCCACAGUUUGGAAGUGGCCUUUUCUGAGGACUCCAGCGCAAAGCAUGUUUCUCCUUUUGAGCUGCGGAAGCCUUGCUUGUUCCCGCCAUUGGGAGGGCAUUCCAUCAUCUGCAGCUGCCUUCCUCGGUGGGCCUUGUCCCUUAGCGUCCACCUAGGGGACAUUCUAAGCUUCUUGAGACCUGCUUGUCCACCCCAACAUGUCUCAGCAUAUGGCUGUGCCCUAAGGGGUCUUUGAGGGCAUUUUAGGAGGUGAGCGGCGCCCCUACCUGGGCUCCGCGGGGCCGAUUCGGUUUGCCCUUUGCUGGCAUGUCAGUGAAUUAACUGCUGUCCUUGGGAUGACCUGCCCUAUGAUUUGGCCUCUGGAGCAUCCCGGGUGUGUAUUUCAGAACUCCUCCCAUCUUAUCCACCUGCUGAAGGCCUGGCCCCCUGAUAUGGUUUGGCUCUGUUUCCCCACCCAAAUCUCACCUUGAAUUUUAAUAAUCCCCACGUGUCAUGGGCGGGACCAGGUGGAGGUAAUUGAAUCAUGGAGGUGGUUUCCUGAACGCUGCUCUCGUGACAGUGAGUUCACAAGAUUUUUUUUUUUAACGGAGUAUCACUCUGUCACUCAGGCUGGAGUGCAGUGGCGCGAUCUUGGUUCACUGCAACCUCUGCCUCCCGGGUUCAAGAGAUUCUCCUGCCUCAGCCUCCCGAGUAGCUGGGAUUACAGGUGCGCGCCAUCACGCCCGGCUAAUGUGUAUUUUUAGUAGAGAAAGGGUUUCACCAUGUUGGUUAGGCUGGUCUGGAACUCCUGACCUUGUGAUCUGCCUGCCUCGGCCUCCCAAAGUGCUGGGAUUACACGCGUGAGCCACUGUGCCCAGCCGAUCUGAUGCUUUUAUAAAGGGCUUUCCCCGUCCCCCUUCCUCUCUCUCACCACCCUGUGAGAAAGGUGCCUUUCUUCCCCCUUCACGUGAACUGCCUCCAUGAUUGUAAGCUUCCUGAGGCCUCCCCAGCUAUAAGGAACUGUGAGCCAAUUAA
Molecule: long non-coding RNA, 1637 nt
Filed under: Homo sapiens (human)
Lineage: Eukaryota; Metazoa; Chordata; Mammalia; Primates; Hominidae
Description: non-protein coding LINC00092:5
Source: RNAcentral